The sequence is a transfer RNA, 74 nucleotides long. It matches the Rfam family "tRNA". From Rfam's summary of the family: Transfer RNA (tRNA) molecules are approximately 80 nucleotides in length. Their secondary structure includes four short double-helical elements and three loops (D, anti-codon, and T loops). Further hydrogen bonds mediate the characteristic L-shaped molecular structure. tRNAs have two regions of fundamental functional importance: the anti-codon, which is responsible for specific mRNA codon recognition, and the 3' end, to which the tRNAs corresponding amino acid is attached (by aminoacyl-tRNA synthetases). tRNAs cope with the degeneracy of the genetic code in two manners: having more than one tRNA (with a specific anti-codon) for a particular amino acid; and 'wobble' base-pairing, i.e. permitting non-standard base-pairing at the 3rd anti-codon position. The record is from Rfam.
CGAGAAGUAGCUCAGCUUGGUAGAGCACUUGGUUUGGGACCAAGGGGUCGCAGGUUCGAAUCCUGUCUUCUCGA